UACGGGGGGGGCAAGCGUUGUUCGGAUUCAUUGGGCGUAAAGGGUGCGUAGGUGGCGGGGUUAGUCAGGUGUGAAAUCUCGGAGCUCAACUCCGAAACUGCACUUGAUACUGCCUUGCUAGAGUACUGGAGAGGAGAUUGGAAUUUACGGUGUAGCAGUGAAAUGCGUAGAUAUCGUAAGGAAGACCAGUGGCGAAGGCGAAUCUCUGGACAGUUACUGACACUGAGGCACGAAGGCCAGGGGAGCAAACGGG
This 253-nucleotide ribosomal RNA is filed under the name uncultured bacterium. RNAcentral describes it as "partial 16S ribosomal RNA". It matches the Rfam family "Bacterial small subunit ribosomal RNA", at positions 524 to 776 of the family's 1533-position model. The record is from RNAcentral.